GUUGCGUAUAUGAUAGAUAUAGUGAAGUAUCAGACUGCAGGUAAAUAAGGCAACACAAAUGCCCACCAGACAUGUGGUGACAUUCCCACAUCGUUGAUGUAUGAAAACAACAGUGAAGUGUUUGUGUGAAACGAGAUGCUCUCUCGCUCUACAAUGCAGCGGUGAUCUGCCUGUAAUGCAAAGGCCACAGAUCAUGCAGUAAACUCUGCUCUGGUAGCCUCAAAGCUGUCCUCGGUUGCUCAAAAUCCAACUACAGAGAUGGAGGAGACUGGUGCGCCAUUUGUUUCCAGUGCACUGAGUAAUGGCUGCCACUGGGCUCUCCCAAAAAGACAGGCUGUUUCAGACUAGACAUACAAAGAAAUACGCUGGCUGGUGUGUACACAAAUGUAAAUGUGCGCAAAUUAAUUAACAAAAAGCCC
Long non-coding RNA from Cyprinus carpio carpio, 419 nucleotides. The record is from Ensembl. NCBI's taxonomy places the organism in Eukaryota, Metazoa, Chordata, Actinopteri, Cypriniformes, Cyprinidae.